AUAACCCAGACAAAAACAGAGAAAAGGGGUCUCCUCCUAGCGGGUCGUUUAACAGCUUGAGCCUCAAAAGUAUCAAAACCCAAGCUUGGAUCUCUAAAAGGAGGAAGACGUAGACAGGUUAACGCUAAAACACACCAACCGCUCAGCCCUCCCCUCCCCCUUCGGAUAUAUAUAAAAUAACCUCCCUUUUGAAAACAAAACAAUCACACAAGCAGGCUCUGUCAUCACCGCCUUUUAUUUCUUUUAGAACAGCUUCUGAGGAUAUCAAGAGGAAAUAGAAAGAGUAACACGUGGUGUAAAUGGCCUCCGAGAGGGAAAGUUUCGACCUUUCAGGGCCAUUACACCUAACUUCCAUUGAUUGGUGAGACCUCAAACUCUGCCUCUCCACCCCCACACAGUUUCUUUCAACAGAUGAAUGAAUAGUAUUUUUAGGUUUGGAAUCAAGUGUGUUUCUCUUUACCAAAAUGGUAUGGAGGAAGUUCUUGUGAUUGACAGUAAUGCUAAUCGGCUGAUUUUGUAUCUUGAACUAAUAAAAAAGCCAUAUUAAGAUGGAUUGUAUUGUGCUGUUUUGUUGUUA
Non-coding RNA from Prunus mume (Japanese apricot), 577 nucleotides. The record is from RefSeq and is a predicted model, not a curated record. NCBI's taxonomy places the organism in Eukaryota, Viridiplantae, Streptophyta, Magnoliopsida, Rosales, Rosaceae.